This 480-nucleotide ribosomal RNA is filed under the name uncultured bacterium. RNAcentral's name for it is "partial 16S ribosomal RNA". It matches the Rfam family "Bacterial small subunit ribosomal RNA", at positions 29 to 523 of the family's 1533-position model. The record is from RNAcentral.
AACAAACGCUGGCGGCGUGCCUAAUACAUGCAAGUCGAACGGGGAAAGUUUUCGGAUGAGUACUAGUGGCGCACGGGUGAGGAACACGUAGAUAAUCUGCCCCUAGGCGGGGAAUAACUGGUCGAAAGAUCAGCUAAUACCGCAUAAGACCACGUCUUCUGAGGAAGAUGAGGUUAAAGGCUUCGGCCACCUAGGGAUGAGUCUGCGUCCGAUUAGCCAGUUGGUGAGGUAAAAGCUCACCAAGGCGACGAUCGGUAACUGGUCUGAGAGGAUGACCAGUCACACUGCGACUGGGACACGGCCCAGACUACUACGGGAGGCAGCAGUAGGGAAUAUGUCACAAUGGAGGAAACUCUGAUGCAGCGACGCCGCGUGAGUGAUGAAGGCCCUCGGGUGGUAAAGCUCUGUUCUUAGGGAAUAAAAAAAUGAAGGUACCUAAGGAGAAAGGACCGGCUAACUUCGUGCCAGCAGCCGCGGUAA